UACGUAGGGUGCGAGCGUUGUCCGGAAUUACUGGGCGUAAAGAGCUCGUAGGUGGUUUGUCGCGUUGUUCGUGAAAACUCACAGCUUAACUGUGGGCGUGCGGGCGAUACGGGCAGACUAGAGGUAUUCAGGGGAGAACGGAAUUCCUGGCGUAGCGGUGAAAUGCGCAGAUAUCAGGAGGAACACCGGUGGCGAAGGCGGCAUCCUGGACCGGCAUUGACGCUGAGUGAGCGAAAGCCAGGGGAGCAAACGGG
RNAcentral lists this ribosomal RNA (254 nucleotides) under uncultured bacterium. RNAcentral's name for it is "partial 16S ribosomal RNA". It matches the Rfam family "Bacterial small subunit ribosomal RNA", at positions 524 to 776 of the family's 1533-position model. The record is from RNAcentral.